CGUUUGUCGCAAUAAAGUUUGACAAAUGACAAAUCCAUCCCUGUCGAAUGGAUAAAAAUGUUGUCGAUCUUUAGAAGGCUUCUCCUAUAUCUGCCGUUUCCAUCACACAUUGCUUUUGUCGAAAAAGCCUGUGUCAAUGGAAACCUGCCUAUUGUUCACUUGUAUAAAUGCAUCUGCAGAUAGUUCUGUAAAAACAACAGUAGCUUUAGUCUCUUUUUAUGUCCUCUUCUUGAACACUUGCCCCUACCCUUUGCUUCUAAGCCUGCAAAACUUGAAAAUGCAGUAAAAUUCCAUCUGAACUCAAAGUAGAUCAAAGGGAAAGGAAGAAAAGUUUACACUGCUGCGCUGUCAGGUCGUAAGCACUGGAGGGCCGCAGAGAUGGCACUGAAGCUCAUCAUGGCAGACUGCUGAAAAGUGGAUUAAAGUCUUGUCUUAUUGCUGCAACUCCCUUACGGACUCAGGAGAGGCGAAGGUGGAGAUUCAUGCAUCCUCCGAAACACGACCCUGCCAAGCUGCACUGAUUCUUGACACACUACUCGCUUAACCCGGAAGGCAGCCUCACCACUUUUUUGGAGGAAACACUGUAUAACUGCAGACCGUGUCAGCGUGCAUGCGCCCGGCCCGCCACAGGAGUCGCUGGAGCGUGAUGGAACAAGGACAUCCUGGUCUGCCAAACCCUCCCCUAACAACGCUGGGCCAAUUGUGCGCCGCCUCAUGGGUCUCCCGGUCGCAGCUGGCUGCGACACAGCCCGGGAUCGAACCCGGAUCUGUAGUGAUGCCUCAAGCACUGCGAUGCAGUGCCUUAGACUGCUGCGCCACUCAGGAGGCCCUGUUGCUGCUUUUGAUUGUGAUUAUGUUUAUGGUGGUGCCCUUUUGACCUUUGCUCAAGAAAAGGAGUUCAGUCAAAUGGCAAUGUAAACACAGACUUAAGUACUUCAUUAUUUGUGUAUCGGAUGAUGGCACCUCAGAACAACUGAGGAUCCCUGGAUGUUCCACAUAGUGUUCCGCUGGCCUAUCUUUCUGCAUUCCUCCAAACACAGCUUCUGUAAUGGUAUAGCCCCCAUUGCACUCUUCACAACUCAUCUCUCAUUCUAAACAACGUUUGGACAAUUAUCACGGACACAUGAGCAUUAGGGCAAUUGCUAUGAGAGUAUUUCAUAGGUCAUUACUUUCCCAUAAGACAACAUUGAUGCAGUCAUUUGCGCUUGGCGUAGUAAGAACCCUUUCUUUAUGCUUUGGUUAUACUGCCCCCUCCCAAACCCUAUCCCGGAUGGGGGGCUGUACUAAGACAAAGACCAGUGGGAUGACUGAUAAGAAAAAGUGGAAUUUAGUGGUCAACAGGGGUUAAUGGCUUAAGAUGUUUUCAAUGUCAAAUAUAUGUGCGUGCUUGAUGGUCAUGCGAAAACAUGAGGUGCGUAUGUGUGUGUGUGUGUGUGUGUGUGUGUGUGUG
This 1450-nucleotide long non-coding RNA is filed under the name Salmo salar (Atlantic salmon). Its description in RNAcentral is "lncRNA (ENSSSAG00000086982.1)". The record is from RNAcentral. Lineage: Eukaryota; Metazoa; Chordata; Actinopteri; Salmoniformes; Salmonidae.